GUCCAGACUCCUACGGGAGGCAGCAGUGGGGAAUAUUGCACAAUGGGGGAAACCCUGAUGCAGCGACGCCGCGUGAGUGAAGAAGUAUUUCGGUAUGUAAAGCUCUCUCAGCAGGGAAGAAAAUGACGGUACCUAACUAAGAAGCCCCGGCUAACUACGUGCCAGCAGCCGCGGUAAUACGUAGGGGGCAAGCGUUAUCCGGAUUUACUGGGUGUAAAGGGAGCGUAGACGGCGAUGCAAGCCAGAUGUGAAAGCCCGGGGCUCAACCCCGGGACUGCAUUUGGAACUGUGUGGCUGGAGUGUCGGAGAGGCAGGCGGAAUUCCUAGUGUAGCGGUGAAAUGCGUAGAUAUUAGGAGGAACACCAGUGGCGAAGGCGGCCUGCUGGACGAUGACUGACGUUGAGGCUCGAAAGCGUGGGGAGCAAACAGGAUUAGAUACCCGAGUAAA
This 448-nucleotide ribosomal RNA is filed under the name uncultured bacterium. Its description in RNAcentral is "bacterial SSU rRNA". It matches the Rfam family "Bacterial small subunit ribosomal RNA", at positions 329 to 794 of the family's 1533-position model. The record is from RNAcentral.